AGGGAAACAACAAAAUAGUAAACUACAGGCCAAUAGACUUGAUGAACAUAGAUGCAAAACUCCUCCACAAAAUAUUAACAAACCAAAUUCAACAACACUUAAAAAAGUUA
Sapajus apella (tufted capuchin) is the source of this 110-nucleotide long non-coding RNA. RefSeq lists it as uncharacterized. The record is from RefSeq and is a predicted model, not a curated record. The transcript is spliced from 3 exons. Lineage: Eukaryota; Metazoa; Chordata; Mammalia; Primates; Cebidae.